Long non-coding RNA from Oxyura jamaicensis (ruddy duck), 7619 nucleotides. RefSeq lists it as uncharacterized. The record is from RefSeq and is a predicted model, not a curated record. The transcript is spliced from 2 exons. Lineage: Eukaryota; Metazoa; Chordata; Aves; Anseriformes; Anatidae.
GGCUCUUCCUACACCAGAGCAGCUCAGCUGCAAGGUCCUGUUGCCCAAGCCAGGACAUUUCUCAGCUGGUGACCUUGCAGGCCCUGUGCUGGAGGGCAGAGCUUAGGCAGUGUCAUCUGAGGAGCUGGAGGCUAGGGCCACCCUGUGAUGAGGUCUGUUCCUGAGCUCCUAUCUUGGUUGGGUGAUUUCAGACUUGGGAGUGUUUGUGUGCUGGCCGUGCCUGGCCAGUUCAUUUCACUUAGGUAACCCCUGUGCUCCUCCCGUGUCAGAGCGUGUGAUGUGCAUCCAUCAGCUGGUUUCCCUGUUGCCUGGUAUCAGUCUUAUCGCCCGUGAAGUUUACUGUUCUUUGGUUUCUGUGGUCAGCCAAAGAUUCAGCAACUCUCUGGCCCUGCUGUUUGCAGACAAACAGAAAAUCUGGCGCUUUUGUUAGUGUGACCAUGUCCCUGUGGUAGUUGGCAGGCUGUCCUGUCUGAGGUAAAAUUGCAGAUGUUUGAUCUUCAAACAGCGUCCAUAGGGAAUCUUACUAGCUCUGAACAGCUACUGUCUUCUUUGAUAUCUGAAGAGUAGAUAUCCUAGCUGAAAGGUUUCCAAUAGCUAUAUUUUCCUUGCUGUUUCAUCACUAAGCAAAUAAAGCAAUAGCAAACCUUUGUAUUGCUUAAUUAUCUAUAUUUUUAAAGCAUUUUGAUCUGGAGUUGACUUCGCAUCUCCACCUGCAGCAUGUUCUUAGGCAAAAGCACAUAACCAAAUAGGCCUUGGGAUGUUUCAAAAUAACCGAUUCCCUGAGCCUGUGGUGAUGCAGGGCUGUUCCAGUUAUUCCUUUAACACGUGCAGCAACAUUGCCUAAGCUGCAGCAGGGGUGUGUUGCACAAGGCUCUGUGAGGUGGGGACUAAUCCCUCCUGUGACGAAGGAACAAGAGGACACGGCUGAGGUUCCUCUGUAGGUCACAGGCAGAGUGCGAAGGAGCAUCCAAACUUCCUGAGCCCUAGACUCGUUCAUGUUUUAUGCAUCAGGUGGGGAAAAAAAAAAAAAGGCACUUUGAUCUUCAUGAGAAUGAAGGAGGCAAGGGGGAAGUGGGAACUUGUGCGCUGCUGGUGGAGGAGCUGGUAUGUUCACCUCGUUGUAUGUAGGGCCGGACCAGAGACACUUCUCUGGGGCGAGGGAGUGGAUGUCCCUGGAGUCUGACUUGAGUGGGUGUGUUAUUUGGUACAGGUUCCCUCAUCCACUCCAUCUGCACUGUGACUAAUUUAGCUCCUAAACCGCUGGCAUUUAAUCAUGAGGCUCUUGAUGGCUUCUCUCUAGUAACUCUGGUGGUGUGGCCUUGGAGAACUUCCAUGUGAUACUUGUGGCUUUCUCAAUGCCUCCCUGCCAGACAAAGUGCUAUCUGCAUGGGUGUCCGGCUGCUGGCAGCAGCAGUUUGGCAGCAUUAGAGGCACGGCAGCCAGGCCAUCAAAUACGCACUUGCUGAUGCACAGGGGGAGGCAGAGAGACAAGUGUUUCCUUCUGAAGUAGGAAGGUUUCUGCUUGAAACAGGGGGAUUUGAUAACAUUUUGGCACUGAUAGGGAGCAUUUAGAAAGGAGUCCCCUUAGCAUGUGGGGUGUCACCAAGUAUAAAGCUUUCCUUGAAGUCUGAGAUAGAGGUUGAAGUGUCAAAGCUAAGCAAAAUGUUCAGGACCGUCUCAGCACAAUUCACAUCACCUGUUUCACACAGACAAAAGAGAUAAGAGGAAAAAAAGGAAAGUGAGCUUUGAGAACUUUGAGUGAGUAAAAAUUCAUGACUAAUACCAUUAAAGCAGAGCUGAGCUAGCUCACUUUUCCCUUUAUCUCUGAUCACACCUGGCUUGAUUCCUUUUGCUUGGGCAUUAAAUGAAUUCAAUGGCUGUGGGCAUUGUGUGGGCUCAGGAAGUACCACAGGCUGGGGAUCUUCUUUUGCUCUCCACGUCAGUUGCUGGGCAAAAAAGUGAAGUGCUUCGUGGUCUGCCUGAAGCCAGCUGAUAACUGCAAAUGUUUGCUGAUUGCAGCUCACUUGGGCUGCCAGGACUGGCUGCCCAAACUGAGAAAGCGCUCACAGCCAGCACUGAACCUGGGAUGAGGGUGGUGGUGGUGGAGAAACAGCAGAAAAACACUGCUCUGUGUCUUAAUAAAUCAUGCUGUUGCUCAUAUCAGCAUGGUGGGGUUGGAGGAGCUAUCAGAGAUGACAGGAACCACGCUUGCUGAAGCAGAAAGUUUUGCUUGAGUGCUGUUUCAGCUAGGCAUGUGUUAGCACCGUGCUCACAGGGGUUAGGUGUGCAUGUGAAACUUCAGUGAUGGAGUCUGGAACGCCACCAGGAAAUCUGGAAGCAUAUUUCACCUGUCACAGCCUUUGUUUCUUUGGUUCAAUCAUUCCCAUCAUUGUUUGGACAGAUGGUUUUGAGACUAUAACCCAGGAGCCAGGCUCAAAAGACUGCACUGGGUUCUCAGCUUUGCCGUGAUUGCCUUGGGCUGCCUCAUGUAAGGCACUUCUGUGCCUGCAUCGGGAUUUGGGGUUUUGCCUCUUGGGCUGCAGGCUCUCUCUAGGGCUGGAGCCACUUUUAUGUGCAAGACUGUGACCUGGUUCAAGCCUUUCAGAACUUAAAUGGGACGAGUGAUCAUCACAGACGAUGAGGCUACUGGUGGUUAUUAAAAGGAAGGGUCUGGAUGUAAUAUGAGUGUUCUUCCUUAGGCCUCUAAGCAUCUGCUUCUGGCUGUGGUUAGUCAGAGGAUGCUUUUGGUGUUACUCAAGCUCAUUUUGUUGCAAUAGUGAUUCAGACAAGCUCACGUUCUUUAUGUAUAAUCUGGAGAAAUCUGUUCCUUAACUGGAGGCACAGACAUGACAGCCCUGGAGAGAUGGGAACACAGAUUACCUGGAGGCAGAUUCAGGGGGAGGCUUACAAGGAAAAAUGUUGUUGCGCCUUGCGACACUUGUUGUUUUUCCGCAUUAGAAGUGCUGAAUCUGCAUAGUUUCCCUGGACAUCAGUGGCAGCUCUGAGACAUCAGCUGUGGAGACACCUGAAAUAAGCACACGCUGUAGAAGAAUUGCAAGCUGAAGUGACAGGCUGCUUCUGUAGAAAGUCUAAUGGCGAGGUUGUGUCUGACAGUCUGGGGUCCCCCACCACGCACUGAAACAUGCAGAGAAGACAUGUAGGUGAUGGAGCAGAUGGCAGCUGGCUUGCUCUCACGUGGGACCUUCUCCCUUUGCCCUUACAAAUAUGCACGUGGUUCCUGUCAAAUGUCUCCGCAGGGCUGGCUUUGACUGCAUUUUUUUACAGCACGUUUCAGGGGGAGGAAUAUAUUCCCCAUGCCCACCAGCUCCCUCUGGCAAGGAUUUCACAUGGAUUUCAGCAGACCGUUUCAUAGCCAGUGGCUUGUUUGGUCAAAGAAGCUGUCUCCUAUGCCAACACCAUCAGUCCGAGUGUUGUCUGCAGGACCCAGCACCGAUAUCUGAGUGCCACACUGUCUCUGAUGUGUUUCUUCCAAACAAGUGUUAUAAAUUCCUUUUUCCUUGUUAGCGGGAGACAAAUCACAACUUCUAUUUCUUAAAAUAUCUUUUAUUAGCUGUUGUUAUUAAUAGAAUCAAGCUGUUAUGUGAAGAGUUACCUGCUAUUACUAAUAACAUGUUCACUUGCAUAUUAAUUCAUGCUCACUGUUACCCAGCUGGAGCAACUGUUGGGAGGCCAACCCCAACACGCACACUUGGAAGCAGAAGGUCAUCCUGAUGCACCAGUGGUUUCUAGCAGGUCUCAAUUAGUCUGGCUGCUCUGUGAGAGGCACUGGCUCAGUCUGGCAGCUUCGCCAAUGGUCUCAGUUUGCUUCUCUUGCUUUUGCCCAGAGGAGCCUGCUGCUGAAGGAGGAAACACCUUUCCUGGCUGCACAGCGAGGGUCUCCAAAGAAACCUGGGCUGUAGUUUGUGCGUAGUUGGCAAGACUGAAUAUAAUGCCAGCCAGAGAGCCGGGAGAGAGGAGUUAUCAUCUUGGGUGUCUCCACAGUGGAGAAAAGGGGUGAGUGCUCUGCAACUCUUCCUUAUUCAAGCCCUACCUUUUCCCCUCCAUGGAGCCUGAACCUCCAAGAGGUUCCUGGCCUGAGCAGCCAAAGUGGCUGGGAAUAAGAGUUGGGCUAUGGGACACUGAAAUAAAGAAGUCUGUGAGCUACUGAAGAGGCUCCUGAGCACCAUCCCAUGGGCCAUGCCCUUCCCUGCUGCAGGCUGGCUUUCAGUGCGAUUCGAGCAGUCAGCAAGGAGAGGAGAAACCGGCCUGCCCGAUCACUCAGCAGCUUGGUGCUCUGCCCCGUGUCACGGUCAGCUGUGCAGGAACCACAGGGGGACCUGCCUGGUGUAACCAAGAGAACGGAGGGAGUUGGGUUUUUAGAAGGAACUGAUAUGGAGAAACAAUUUGUGCCUCUCUCAGGCAUAUUGUGGUGGGGAAGGAAUGACUUCAGGCACAUUUUUUUUUUUUUUUUCUUGUGGAGAAAAAUGAGAGGGUUGUGCUGCUGUGCUUGGCAGCUAGCUGUGUAGCUGUUACCUAUGAUGGUGUAGGGGGGGUCAACAGCGUGCAGGUUAACACACAUUGAAUGCCUUUACAUUGCUGGCAUUUUGUGGCAGAUAUCAAAAGUGUUCAGAAGUUCCACACAAUCAGAAAUUAAAAACAGGUGGUGGCUCGCAGUUCAUAUGAUAAAAUGCAUAAACCAGGAGGAAAGUGUGAAAAGGCUAAGCUGACGUGUCAGUAAAGCACAGCCACUAGCUGUGGAUUUAGGUGCUAAGAUAAGUGGUGCUGGUUGUUUCACAAAGUCAGGUUCCUUAUCCAGUUAUUGCAGAGCUUCCAUUUGGGAAAUUGGAGCCAUGUGCAGCCCUUAUUGACAGAUUUGCUUUGCAUGUGCUAUGCUACGGUUUGCAAUGCCAGGUACUUUUUUUAUUGUUUGCCUAUGUCACUGAUUGCCAUUGCUGGCUGUGUCUAUUGUGCCAUUUGCUAUCUGUCAAGCUCCCACCCACGCUACCCUGAUGGCUCAAUCAAAAGCCCUCCAGCAACUUGGUUAUUUCUUGUCCUCUGCUGCCAGUUUCUUGUAGAUGGUACUCUUGUAAUCACUGUCUUGCAGUAAGAAGAGUUUUGCACCAACAUCCCCAUCUCCCUCAACACAAAGAGCUGCCUAGCCCUGUCCUCUCAGCCAUGGAAAAGCCAUUUCCAAAUGCCGGAGAAAGGAGGCAGAUUUUCAGUAGCUGUAAAUCUGAGCUGCUGCUGAGAGGUGCUUUAACAAUGCCAGCUGGCCUGGAGCAUCUCCGGAUCUUUCACUGAGGAUGGGGGAAUUAUCUUUAAACUAAAGGGGUGAAGGGAUUGUAUUUCAACUCACUGUCUAAAUGAUCGCUGCUCUCCUUUACGGCUGCACUGGGGUUCUUCAUGACCACGAACCAGCUAUUUGUGCUGAGGGAAGUAGCCCUUUCUCCACAGUAGCCUUUUUACAGAGGGGAUCUGAGGACAUUUAACAGGCUAAUGUGCUCUGAAGUGGGGUUUGCAUGAAAGAUACAGUGCCUGAUCCCAGCCUGACCUUGUAAAUAUUUACUAUUUGAUAUGCCCUGAGCAGUCCUAUACAUGUGAGCAUGGCAAUGGUCAGCAAGAACAUUUAUAAGUAUGUGGGUGUUACUGCCCUUUGUGCUCAAGCUGGUGCCAAAAGGCCAGAAAAGCUCUCUCUGCUCUGCCUCUUGGAGACCAGAGGUCAGAAGCCAUUGGCACCGACACCAUGUGCUACGCCCAGGCAAACAUUUGGGUUAGAAAUGUCUGUAUGUGCUGGCCAUGCGGAAUGGAGAUGUAUCGUUGUUGUGCAACUAAAGGGCAAAGAGACUGUCCUCAGCAUUUGCUGAGCUUAGCAUUCACCCGUGGCACAGCUCAGUGAUGUGCUGCCGGGCAGCACAGCAGUCGGGAGACAGGAGGGUUUCUCCAGCCAUGGAGCAAUCUGUUAUAGCACAACAUGAUACUGGGGCUGAAUGAACCUAACUCGGCAGGGCAGGUAAAUUCAGCUGAGAUCGUUACUGACAACGACCUGCCAGGCGUGCAGUGAUGCUUGCAGUAUGUGCUGUACCCGCUCAGGUAGUAGAAGGGGCUGGCAGUAAAUGUGCUGCUGAGGCAUGAAAGGCCUCCAGUUCCCAUGGCAAAGGCAUUUACUGCUGGGCUGUGCUGUUCUGUUAGCUCAGGACAUCCAGAUGAGGAUGCAGGCACAGAACAAAUAUUAGGAGAGCUGUACCUUGACCCAUCUACCAUUCAAAAGCAUUAAAUAUUUAGAUGUGCAGGCAGAAAUGUUUUGAAUCUCUUGACAGAAAACCUCCUGGGUGCGGGUGCUUUUGUUUCAGUGCAUACUGCAGUGUCCUCUCAUUGCACAGGAACUGGGUUCUGGUAAGGGUUUAGUUUAAAACAGCAAAAGAUGGGAUAUUGUUUGGGUCCAGUUUUCCUCAGAGUCUGAGGGAUAGCCAAAGUCCCUGGAGACCUCUCUUGUCAGCAUCACAGAAACAGAAGCAGCUGAACUCCAAAUGCAGCAGAUAAGACAGAAAUUUCAUAUCACAGCCAUAAACAUCCCUAACCAAACUCUGGCUCCCCUGUGCUAGAUGUGAAGUCUCUUCUCCAGAGACCACAGCAGAAAAUCUAAGGAGCAGGAAAGCAGCAUCUGCGCCAAUUCCUGGAGGAUGAGGAGACCUACCCGGUGUCAUGGAAGAAGCCAAUGGCAGAGUGGGAAGUGAAUAAAUGCAUUAGUUAGUGACUCAGACUCCAAGCUGGCCCAGCCCAAGGGGUGUGAACCUGCGUCAUCCUCCUGACCAGCUAAAUUCCACCGAGGGGACCUCUUGCCAGCGGAUAAUGUGGUCCCAUCAGAGCUGAAAUGCUGCCAGAAACCAGAAAUAUCAUCUUGAAGAAGAAAGAAAAAGGGAGAAAAUCAUUCUGUCCAUAUUGAAAUGCUGCGGUUUGGGUAUUUUCAAAAUGAAAUGUGUCUAGCUUCUGCUUGGAAAAGACUUUCCAGCUGUAUUUCUGUGCAAAAGAACUGAUUGUAUAUAUUAUAAUGGAAGGAUUCAAAAUCUAAAAUAAAGGAAGCAAAACACUCAAAACUAAAAGACAGAACUCCCUCAAGAACAACCAACCAGACAAGAGCUGGGGAAUCCCAGCUCUUUGUCUGUAAAUCAAUCUGAAAAGACUGAGGAGAUUUUCCUUUGAUUUUCCACGGUCAUGUUCAUCCCGCAUCCAAAUGAAAGCUCUUACUGGUAUAUGUAACUUCUGCAAAACAGAAAUGUCCAAUUUUAUGCACUUUUCACUCAUCCCCUUAUGCUUUGCCUGCUCAUGACUCAGCUGAAUUGGAGAGAUUAGAGACAAAGAAAAUUCUCACAAACACAGAAAAUAAAUCCCAUAUGGAUAUUAAAACAAAGCUAGUGCAUCAUUAGCAGAGCUUUUAAAGAGCCUUGAUAUUUCCUGAAAACUCCCAUGUGUCUGCAAUAUCUUCCACAACAUCAAUCCUAGCAUGUUACAUGGUCAUUAGUCCAAAGAACAUACUCAUUCAUUUAUGAGUUUGAAUUAUGAGCUCCAUUGCCAAAGAUCUGAUGUUUAUUGUGUACCAUGUUGGUAAUUUGAUGGCUGGA